RNAcentral lists this ribosomal RNA (218 nucleotides) under uncultured bacterium. RNAcentral describes it as "partial 16S ribosomal RNA". It matches the Rfam family "Bacterial small subunit ribosomal RNA", at positions 15 to 216 of the family's 1533-position model. The record is from RNAcentral.
GAUCAUGGCUCAGGAUGAACGCUGGCGGCGUGCCUAACACAUGCAAGUCGAGCGAGCACUUUGCUUAGAUUCUUCGGAUGAAGAGGAUUGUGACUGAGCGGCGACGGUGAGUAACGCGUGGGUAACCUGCCUCGAUACAGGGGAUAACAGUUAGAAAUGACUGCUAAUACCGCAUAAGACCACAGCACCGCAUGGUNCGGGGUAAAAACUCCGGUGGU